Long non-coding RNA from Poecilia latipinna (sailfin molly), 389 nucleotides. RefSeq lists it as uncharacterized. Lineage: Eukaryota; Metazoa; Chordata; Actinopteri; Cyprinodontiformes; Poeciliidae. The record is from RefSeq and is a predicted model, not a curated record. The transcript has 4 exons.
UGGAGUUGGUGUCCGGUAUCCCAGCUGGUACUAGUGUGAGAUUGGAGCUUGAUAUUUAUCCUGAGCAUCUUCAGUUUCUGGAGUUGAACUUCACUUCAGGGGAAACCACAGUGACUGUUCGCACCAAGAAGCCGCUCGACGCCGAGGCCAAUAUAUUCUUUACGCCUGAGAGAAUUUUGCACUACAGCUUAGUGUGCAAUAAUGAUGUGACAUACAAAAACUCCCGCAGGUUGAUAAUCAAUGAUAUAAAUGACAACAGUCCAGUAUUUGAGAAGAAGUUUUAUUCUCAAAAUAUUUCAGAGAAUCAUGUUGUCAACACUGAGGUUCUGCAAGUGAGAGCCGUGGAUGCAGACAGCACACCUGAAUUCAACCUCUUCACAUAUUCCUAU